CAAACUUUGCUCUGGCUGCGCGGAGUCGCCUCUCUGUCCGUGUGUGUACCUACACGCACACGUGUGCGUUUGUGUGUGCGUGUCCGCGUCGCUGGGGCUGCGCCGGGGCACUGCCGCUCCUCUCCCUUCGCAGCCAAGAGCCCGCCGAGGAGGGCACAGGCACUAGCGGCAUCCCCGGGAAGGGCGGACAGACCUGCUUUUUUAGGGCUGCUUUGUUGAGCCUUCCCCAUCGCCACAUGGUGCUGCUCCGGUGUGGGAAGUGUGCGAGGGGCUGACCAGGCUCUGCCCGUGCCCGCAUCGGACGAAGGGCAGAAUUAAGACAUCCCCAUUGAAUCCAGCAAGUGCCCGGCAGAAACGAGUAGUAGCCCCCGAGAGACGGGGAGAAACCCGCCGGGCUCAGCUCGUCCCAGUUUCGGACCGGUAAAUGGAGCCGAGCAGUAACGGGGAUUCACCCCUCCACCCUGUCCCGUUCCUCCAGCGCCGCGCUGCCCCGUUAGCUCCCGGCUGAUCCGGCAUCCCCCGGCGACAGGGCACGGGUGCAGUAAAAAAAAAUCAUCCAGACAAAAGCAGGCGCUGCGCUUGGGGAACGUCAGGAUCCGCAACUUUUAUUUUACGAACACGAUGGGCGCACAUUUUGCAGGAAACAACUUCCCAGUAUUUUGGCAUCGGAAAAGUGCGCUUUGUGCUUUGCACAUGCCCCGUCAGGUUGCUAAACCUUCAAGCGCCGGGAGCCGGAGGAACGGGAACAUGUGGAUGCUCAAUCCGUUUUCGGCAGAUGCUGGGCUCGGCACGGCCGGCCGGGACACGGGCGCGCUGAGCCCGGCUGCCCACGCCGCCGCCCGCGGCUCUGCGAAAUCGUCCUCGAACGGGUAAUUAAAAUCCAGCUGAGAAAUUAGACCCUCCAAACCCCGAGGAAGGGAGCAAGGUAGCGGGAAACGGGAGAUGGACUUGCCAAGUCGAACAAGUGCGUGAAAUAAAUGAUCGAGAAAGGAGGAAAUUAGAAAUGUAACUUUUGGGAAAGGGCUUAAUUGUGCAGCGCUCCGCAGAUGCAGGGAGACCCCCUCUCUCCUGGAGACGGCUGCAGAGAGGCGAUGGGGCAGCGGUUGUUUGGAAAACGACAGACAACUCGGGGAUGGUUCCUGAGCGGAGAUGCGCAUCCCCGCAUCCCUCCCGCCCCUCUUCCCUUUCCUGGCGCUCGGCGGGCACCGGACACCCGGGCCGGGCAAAGCUGUUCCGGGACGGUCCCGUUCUGAAAAAAAAAACAAAACAAAACCCUUCUCUGAGAGGCUGGGCGUUGCAGCCCGCUCUCCCGACGGGACGGGGCGGCGCGGCCCGGGAGCAGGCAGGGACCCCGCCGCAGGAGCCGGCAGCGCGGCCACUCCUCUGUUCCAUUGCCGUGUCCCUCUGGAAAAGCAGCCUCCGCCGUGCCUUUACGUGGGCUAGAGUCUUUCCCGGAUCGGUUUUUUGGUGGAAGGAUUUUGAAGGCAAAAAAAGGGCCGGGGUGGGGGCGGCGGGACCGGGGCGGGGGAAUGUGUGUGUGGAAACCGUAAUGAUUUACGACAAAAAGAUAAACUCAGGAAACGUCAACUCCAACGUCAGAUUUGACUGGAGACAGCACAAAGCUGUCGCUUUACUCGCAGUCCUUGGGGCACGGCCGGAGGCGGGGGGCAAGGCCCGGGGUGUGGGGACGCCCCACGGUGGCCCCGCUGUCGCCCCGGCGGGACCCGCCGCCCUCCCCGGGCCACCGGGAGCUCGCCGAGCCCGGCACCCGGCUCCGCGGCGCCUACCGCGCCUUCGGUGCUUCCCUAGGGGCGGUUUUUGCGCUUUAGGUGUUCCUUCUUUUUUCCUCUUUUGCUUUUAGCGUGAGUUUGUAUUUUCCCGUGGUUUUGUUUCUGUUUUCUGUUGUUUGCUCGCUUUGUUGUUUAAUUUUGGACAGGUUUUGCUGGGGGUUUUUUUUGGUCGUUUGAGAGGGUUUCAGCGUUUCAGAGGGAGUUGAGGAGUUUUUAUUUGUUGGGGGUUUUUUUGCAUUUUCAGCGUUGAAGGGACCCGCACCCCGAGCACCCCCCGACGGCCAGCCCGGCUUGCCCAGGGCGGGGUGCGGGGCGGGCAGACGGGCCCCGGGCGGGCUGAGCUCCAGCGCUCGGGGAGCGGGACGAGCCCCGCGGAGCUUCAGCGGGGCUGAGCGGGGGGGCCCGGGGUGCCAGUGCCGACCCCUCCGGGCGCAGCAAGGAGGGCUGGGGACACAGGACACUCUGGCGAGCGAAGCGGGGCCGCCGCCGGCGCCCCUAUAUAGGGAAGGGCGGGAGUGGGGCGGGGCGGCGGCGCCUUUGAUGUCCCGCCGGCGGCCCCUUUCAUCCCCCCCCGGUUCCCCCCCCGAGCUCUUUGUGUGACUAAAUUUGGCAGGAGCAUGGAGGCGCGCCAGGGCGCCCACGUGUGCGCCGAGCUCCCAGCUGAGAGAGCCGGGGUUUUCUUCCGGGUAAGGAGACAGCGGGGGAGAUCAAAGAGUUUGGGGAGCUGGAGCCGAAAUGUGCAGUGGAAAUAAAGUAAAAUUAAAUAAAUAAUUAAAUAAAUAAUAGAAAAGAGGGGGGAGGAAAAUUCCUCCGUCCUGGACGCGUGCCAGUCAGAGGCAAGGGGGAGCGGGGCGAGCACAGAGUGGUCGGGGGGCCCGGCGGGAGGGAGGAGGGGGAAAAAUAUUCUCGGAAAAGGGGGUUGCAGUUGUUUUCUAAAAAGAAAAAAAUAAUAAAAACUAACCAGCGAACCAAGAGACCAAGCCUUUUGUUCAAAGCCGCCGGGCUGUGGAGCCAAGCCGGGAAGAGCCGCCCGACAGCGCGUCCAGGAGCGCGGCCGGGCCAGGGGCAGAACUCCUUCGUACUGCCUGAGGAAGGGCAACCAGCGGCAAAUAUCCCUUCUCCCGCCCCCGAGGCCGGUCCGGAGGCUCGAAGGGAGUCCUUCUAGGCAAACCCCCCGCGGUUUUUUCUCCCCCCGGGAAGCGAUGCCGAGGGUGGUCCCCCGAGGGGAGGGUGCCCGGGGGCCAGGCACCCUUUGCGGCAGCCCACGCCGCUCCCCGCGCUGCCGAGGGACAGCAGCGCCUCUUCCCGAGCCGUGCUGGCACAGCCGGGCUGCGCCACGGGCAUCCCCGGGGCCCCGCUGCCGCCCGGCGCAUCCUGCCGCCCCGGGCCUGCGGGGACGUCACCCGGCUCUCGCCGCUCCCUCAGGACUGCAAAGCGCAACGAAGAAUGUUGGGUUUUAAAGUUUCCCAAAGCGAGCCUUCUCGGUGCCUUUUCAAGGCAAUGUGAGUGAAUUAUGCGUGUUCCCCGGGUCUGCGUUUGCCACCCCAUUUAGAUAACACCCGUGAUUUAUGUGCGAGUUGAAUAUAUAGGCUGAAUUCCCAAAUUCCUUCUGAAGCAAAUAAAUCCUCCUCACUCAGGACAUGGGGGUGAGCAGAGCCAGAGCACGGAUGUGAUGAUCAGCCCUGGCUCUGCAGAGUUAUUGCUGGUGUCCUGCACAUCUCAGUGCUGCACAGCAUCACUGGGGAGCCAGCCCCAGCCUCAGGUUGUAUGGAUCUGUUUGCAAAUAUGGACCUGUUCUGUGCCUCUACAACAAGGAGAAUACUUCUAAGGCAUUUUUUUACUCUGUGAGAAUAAAUUCAUUCUUGUGUUUAAAGAGACUCUUCUGAUGAUCGCCAUAGGGAAAGCUCUAAAUAAGAGAUCAGGAUUUUUGGGGGCAAAACCCAGUGUCCUCCCUCACUCUUAUGUUGUACCAGGCACAGUCCCUUUGGUGGUGCAGUCCCUUUUACAAGCACAGUGUCCAGAUAUCUGGCAUACCUUUGGGUUUGGGUCCAGGUUUGGGUUGCAGACACUGUGGCUCACACUCCAUGGCCUAUGUCCCUCGGGUGGGUCACCUGCCGUGGCCUCCAGAUGAUGCUGAUGCCAGUGCCUGGUGGCCUUCAGGGAACUUAGGUGUGGUGUGGAGGGGAUUUCUCAUUGCACUUGUGAUCAUUCCUGUCAUGGUGGCUGAAAGGGAUUCUUUCCAACAGUCAAGUAAAGAGGAUUCUGCUGAGUGAAGGGAACAAUUCUGUGUUUGGUGCAGAUUUAUAUUUUAAAUGGAGAAAAAAACCAAAAAGGGAAUAAUAUGUUCUGGUUUUGAAGACUCAUUUACCAUGAGCCUUUAUGAAAUACGGGCUCAUUUUUCAAAUUUAUAACAAAGGGCAUCCUGGCUAUGUUUCUAGCAGCUAUAUCAAAGAGUAACUGCACUUCUCAUUUAAAGCUACUUUGAAAGAGAUCACAUGUAAUAGGUAUUAGGAUAUUAAGAGUGUAUAUGUGCUUUUUGCUUUUUAAUUUACACAUCCAGCUUUCCAGUUCUGGGAUGCCAUUAAUGUUCUUAGCCCAGAAUUACUCUAUUUAAAGAGCUAGGUUUUCUUAGCUCUUGCAACAACAUGGGCUUUAUGAGAUUUGAGUGGGCAAAUCUUACCCGUGCAUUUUUACUGUAAGAGCUUUUGUUUAGAGGAAGGCAUUGGUGGCUCAGAUCUCACGAACAUGUUGCUAUCUUAUUUUGAGAUUAAAAUAGGUAGUAGUUAAUGGCUUCUUUUUUUUUCUUCUUCUUCUUUUUUUUUAAUUAAGUGCAAGAUAAAAUACAGGGCAAGUGGCAUGGAUUAUUCAAAUAAAUGAUGACACAAAGUAGCUUGCAAACUAACCCUUACAUUGUGCAGUGCAGUUGCAGGAUUAUUUCUGAUGACUCAUCAGAUCAGAUAAUCCACAGCAUGUGGAUAAAAGGGGACGCAGGACUCAGAACUAAACCCAGAAAUCCACUCUUGGAAAAAUGCAAAAUGUGAGGUUAAUGUUGUAUUAAAGGUAAGACCUGGAAAGGGCACAGCAACAUGCUGCCCCCCAGCAGGGAUUUUUAGCCUGGCAUUUUUGAAAGGACCAAAGAGAUGUUCAAAGGGAGUGGAGUAAAAUAUCCCUGAAGGGGCCUUUGAAAAUCCAAACUUUAGUAGUUUUGUGGGACGCCACAUUAAUGUGAGAUUCUAGCAGAAGAAAUGUGUUUUAAUUUCAGAGUAGCAGUUUUGCCCAUUUACGUCAACAUUUCCUACUUUCUAAGAGGGGGAAGUUCUGCUCCUGGAUAAAUAAAUGUUAUUCGUGUCCCAGAACGGAUGAGAUUUUCUCCAUCCCCGGGAGCCAGGAUGCCACACCCAGGGGCAGUGUCUGUGGGCAGGCUUUCAAAGGCCCCUCCAACCGAGUCCUGCUUCUGCACCUCUAGCUUGGACUCAGAAGUGCUGGUGAGUGUCUCACGCUGCAACUUCUUGGAUGCACCAGGGAAAGCCCCUCAGGGCCUUCUGCUGGGGUUUUGUGCACGUGUCAUUGGAAGCCUUAUGCUGGGAAUGUUGAUUUCUAUUUGUACUUAAUUGUACAGUGCAAAAUUAGUAUCUGGAGCCCCAUAAGUAUAUGAGGUGUUUUGUAAAGCAGUCACCCUUUUACAAUAGCCCUUGGCUUGGUUCUAGCUUGACCUGUUUUGGAAUUCAGCAUACACCAAUUGAUGUGUUCUGCCAAAUAUAUAAUGAACACGCAGAGCUGACUGUGCACCAGUGUUUCCUUCUAGCUUUUGAAAUGGUGAUCGUUCCCUUUCUGGGCUCCCAACGAAAUCAAAGCAUCUUGUAAUCCUUUGCUUGUUUUUAAGUGACAGUAGUCCUCUGUUCCCUGACAAAUAUUGCCAGCAGAAGCCUGGUAGCUCCAGACAAGGUCCUUUGAAAGAGGUGGGAGGGGAGAGAGGCUCUGCAGGCAACUUUCCAGCAGCAGCUGUGCACUAACGGCAUGGGAGUGUGGGAGGCUACUCCCGGGUUAGUAAGACAGUUCAGCAAUGCAGUGAAUGUCUGCUCGCAGUACAUGACUCCUAUUUACUUUUUUUUUAAUUCCCUGACCUUUGUCUGACCAAAUCCAUCGGCGAAACGCAGCUGGAUGGGGAGGGGACCAGCAGCCAGGCUGUACCAAGGAUCUUGCUGCCUCAGUGAAACACGCGGCACUCCCCCAGGGAAAAUGUUUGAGGCAAGUAACGAGGUGGCGAAUUUUCCUUCUUGCUGAGAAAGGUAUUUGGAGUUGGAUCUUAUUUUACUGUACCAUCUCUCACUUUCCAUGGAAGUAAGUGCCAUUAAUUUGCCUGGCAGAGGUAUUAAACUGUAACAGCUGAAUGCCAGUCAAAGGCAUCACUGUUUGAUAGGGAAGUGCCAGAGAAAGAGGAGUUUGCAGGAGUCUGGGGUGUUGUUCAGAGCCUUGUGAUCUCAGCUUCAUCACAGCUUCACAGUUUCAGGUCUGGUAAUGAUCUGAAAAUACAAGUCUUCAUGGUGACUGGAAGGUAGAGAGGAACAACCCAUAGGGACAGCAGCUAGGGCUCACCUUUUGAUGAAGGGCAUUUCAUCUGGUCAUUUCACCUUAGCUCCAUUUUCCUUUGAGUGGGUCUCAUGGACCACUUGUGCCCACAUCCAGGGGAAAUAGGCAAUUUUGGCUUCCAAUUAAGAGUUUCAGAAAGACUCUCAAAGACGAAGGGGAGUAAAGAAAUGCGAGCAAAAGUUCUGCAAGUUGUCAAAGGAGAACAUCACAUGCAAGGAGAUUUCAGUCAAAUCCUGCAGACCCUGACUCACAAUUGUGCUGGAGCAGGGACCUACACACGAGACCCUGUGCUGAAAAAGAGCUGAUGAGUGUGGCACUAAGGACAGUGUGGGGUAGAGGAGAAAAUUGUAACUGAAUGGUGUGACUUAAAAUUCCAAAAUUCCCUGUGUUGUGCUGCUCUGAGUUACCCAGAUCGCUUGCGGUUCCUGCUGAGCUCAGCCAGAGCAUGGGUGCUCAGGCUGUCUUCAAAUAAGCCCUGCGUAAGGAGGAGAAUGGUUUCUGCCCUGCUGGAGAAGGGUAAAGAGACAGGGGGACCCUUUAGGCUGGCUGGGCUAUUGCAGAGGGUGGAAGCAAGGGUUCAGAUUGUGGCCUUUGUUGCUCAUCUGCCAGGUUACACCAUGACUGAUCAGCUUUGAGCCUGUACAUCUCCAGAGAAAGCUGUGCUUUCUCUCCUGUUUCUACCUCGCCUCCUGUGCUGCUUUGUGCUGGUCAGAAGGAAGGAGCAGCUGCAAAACUUGCACGUCUGGGUGAGCCUCCAGUCGGCAGCUGAGCCGACAGCCCGUGCCCAUGCAGCAAGGCUUUUCAACAAGAGACUCCAGAUAAUAAUACUCUUCCUGGCUAAAAGAUUUUAAUAACUUUUACUAACUUCAGCACCUUUUCAAACAAUGUGUAAUUAAAUUAUGAAGUUUCUUGCUGCAAGAUAUUGUGGAGUCUGACAGGAUGAAUGGAUUCAGAAAAGGAUUAAGCAAAUUCAUUUUGUCUAUGAAACAACCAGUUGGAUACAACUUCCAGCCUAAAAACUCCCUGAACCUCCAACUGCAGGCAGUCAUUCUGGGCACACGGAAGGUGAUGCAGCAGACGAGUGCAGACUGGAAAAUGAAAACCUGCAGAAAAUUACUCAAAUGCAUGCUGUGAUGGAAAAGUCAGGAUCUGAAUUUGCAGCAUGCCGUCAGUCACUGGCCUCAAGCUAUAACCAAGAUUGGUACCAGCUGAUGUAUGCAUGCUGCUACUUAUGUUGAUAAUGAAAUAAAACUUUCCCUGCUUUAUUUGUCUGUCCCUUGAGGAAUUCAGUUUUUCAGACCUCUCUCACAGCCAAGACUACUUUUAUUACAUUUAUUUAUGUUUGCUGGCUGUGAAGCAUCUAAAUAGUGUUUCAUUUAAAAAAAUCUUUAUACGAGAAAGAUCAGAAGCGUUCUGUGGUAUUUAUUUUUCUUUAAAGAGGGUAUCUUUGGCAUGCAGACAGGUUGUGGCUCACCAUUAUAAGUUAGCAAAGGAUCAUCCAUGAGAUAUUAUCCAUAACCAGAAUAAUACUAGAUAACUAGAAAAAUCAGCUUUUAAUGGGAUUUCAUUUCAUGUAAGAUAUAUUAUUUUGAAUUUCAGUAAAGUUUUUCACUGAAUGCAAACAAACACCUUCUGAGUUCUCUUCCUCUUAAACACUGUGCAUUUAGCUCUGAUAUGGGCACAGGAUUCACCAGAUUAUUUUGCAUUAGAAGAGUGCUAUCUUUAGUGAGAGCAAUUAAGGCAAAGGGGCUGCAGGCCAAAGCACUGGAGCUGUAUAAGGAUAGCAGAAGCUGUAGAUUAAGCUGUAUAUUAAUUACUUGGUUCCCUACUUGGAGCUAUGAACAGUGAAUUCUUUAAUUUCAUGUUGCAUUUUUUAAGGUAGUUUGUGGUUCACUAAAACCCAAAGCAUUGGGAGGUUUUGCAGGUAGAUAUUAAAAUGGUGAAACUGCUACAGAUGUUCUGAAAAAAGCAACUGAAGCAGACUGCAGAGGUGGAUCCAGAGGGAUGGUGCAGGGCAGCACUUGGAGAUGUCCAGGUCCAUUGCUUUAUGCAAGCUCUUGCACAGGGCUGCAGCAAGGUGGGUCUACUUCAUUCACACCCUGACCUGGGCUGUGGAUUUGAUGUUGUGUGAAUGAAUGUCUGGUUUGGGCAGGAAGGUCUCCCCUCUUGCUCCACUCCCUGGUUUGUGGAGCUGCCCACACAGCCCCUGUUACACAUGGUAUGCUCUCCAAAUUAACAGAUUUCUGCCCCAGAGAAGCUUAUGCUCUGGAGGAAGUUUGUAUCUUUGAACUUAUUUGAGUUAUCCUCAUUUGGGGAAAUGAAUUCCUUCAGCUCAUUCUCAUCUCUCAGAAGCUCCUUGUCCCCUCAGUCACACUUUUGUCUCCCUUGUUACUGCUGCACAUCCUCCCUGUGGACUCUUCCCACAGCUGGGGAAGCCUGCAAGAUCCCUGGGGCUGCUCCCGAUUUCCCCCUGGCACCAGGGCAGCUGCCUCCUGCCCAGUGCCCGAGCAGGGGAGGGGGCCCUGUUAAUGUUACUUUGUUCAGUUGAUCUGGGGCUUGUCAAACAUGUGCCUUCAAAAGUCCUGGCUCUGACCUGGGAAACAGGUGGCACCUUAUUAGCCUUUUCAAAGGGAGCUCUCCUGACCUGCUGUGUAAUUUAGGCUCCUGUGAUAAAUAUAACUGAGCGUGGAGCGAUGCCUGUAACCAUCGUGCUUGGGCCAGUGCCUGCCUGUCAGCUCUGUGGGGCUCUGCACAACUGCAAGAGCUCCCACCAGGCAUCCUCCCACCAGGCUGAGGGGCUCUGCCUGUGGUGGCUGUCAUCUGUCAUGCAAGGAAAGCAUCCUUUGUGCCUUACUCCCAUCAAAAGCACAAAUACCCAUUUACUAUGUGGUAGAGGAGGAAACGGCAGCAACACUCUUCACACUGAUUCUGAGAUCCGUCCCUACCACAGAGCCACAGAAUCAAUGGUGUUGGAAAAGACCUCUGAAAUGUUUGAGUCCAGCCUGUGGCUGAGCGCCACCAUGUCAACUAAGCCAUGCCACCAAGUGCCACAUCCAGUCUUUUCCUAAACACCUCCAGAGACAGUGACUCCACCACCUCCAUGUGUAGCCUGUUCCAGUAUCCAAAUUUCCUGAUAGUAGACAUUAGUGUAAUGUAAGUGUGUAAUAGUUAACAUUUUACUUCUCUGCCAGCUUUCUUCUGUCAGGAGCUUAAAUGCCAGCCAUCACCUGGGUGAUGUGGCAAAUGCAUGGCUUGAGAUUGACCCGAGGGCUGAGCUUCCUUCAAAAUUGCUGUAUGGCAGGAGGAUCCCAGAGACAUGGGUACCAUCAGGCCAAGGAAGUGUGCCCAACAGGAUUAUUUCCACAAUCUCUCCCUGGAAAGGCAAGAGGCAGCCAAACCAUGACAUUUUAUUUGUUGCCUGCUUGCCCUGCCCGAGUUUAGACCACGUAGCUGUGGGACAAUGUGAGCACACCUAGCUGGGCUGGGGUGGUGGCUGUGCUUUCCCUCAGCAAUGAAAGAUUUUCUACUGUGCAAAUUAUUGUGCUGGGCUGUGUCAGUAAUGAAAGUUUAGCCCAGGAGGGGUAAACAGUCCACCAUCUCUUUUAUAAAGGUGAGUAGGUCUGUCCAUUCAGACACACCAGUAUAACCAGAAGGUGUUAUCAGUAGGCAUUUUUCAGGAAUAUUGAAUUUAUUUAAUUGACAUAAAAACUAUAAGGACAGCUCUCUAAGUUUGUAAGGCUUUAAAAGCUUAUACCAAGCUAAAUGGUUAGAAGGACACAAACCUGCUCACUGAACUCUCAGAAUUCACUUCUCUCUCAGAACACACCUCUGCUGGAUGCAGCCUAGAAACGUGAUUUACAGUCCAUGAUGAGCCUUUGCUGAUGCUGUCCUGGGGAAGGUGAGAAGAACUCUCCAUAAAGCUGAAGGAGCCUCACAACAACUACAGUACCCUGGAGCCCUUGUUCCUUCAAAUUUCACAGCAUCUGGCCCAAGCAGCUCUGUCAGGUGUGAUGGCUGUGGAGCAGUGCGUGCAGAAAAACUGUGAGCCAUUUGGAGCAAAGAAACCCGUAAGACCCCUGAGAGUAUGAUGUCACAUGGAAAUUUUAGGGGCACUCAAUAGUAACUGCACCUGCAUGUUAUUUAUCAGUUACGUUUUGGGGUUGUGUUGGCCUUUUUCUUUAUGUGCAUGAGGAUCUGCCCCACUUCUACCAAAUUCUUAGGUUGUUUGGCAGGAUUUGGUCAAGUACAUCAUCCCAUCAAGUUUGUGUGGGUUUUUCUGUGUUUCAACCUAGAAGUAAUUUUUUUUCAGCAAGAUUUUGGAGCAAGAUUUAUUUUCAGUUUCUUUGAGGCAGUUUGGAGCCAGAAAGGAACAAAAAAGCCUCCAAACACCAAAGGAAAUGGUGCCACUGAACAAAGGGUCUCUUGUUUGUAAACUUCCAUUUUAAAGUGUUGGUGCAUAUUCUACUGGAACAGUUUUUCAUUUUUCACUUAUACAGUCCAAUGUUUUAAAUACUAACCUAUUCAAGAGUCAAGUACUUUUUAGGGCCCUUUGGAGUGUCUUUUCAGUGCUGUGUCUGUUUCUGAGAAAGCUGAGCUGUCUUCACUCCUGUGUAUUGAUCCUCUUAGAUAAUGUAUCCAAAGAGAAAAAGGAGAGAGUGUUUCAGUUUGCAGAGAAGCACAGCUGAAGAGAGGGAGCUGAAUCUGUCCUGUAAUCUGUCAGCUGCAGAGCCUUCAUCACUGAAUGAUCCUCACCUCAUGUUUCUUGCAGCACAAGAGCAGGACUCUAUUUCAGAAAAAUAACAACCCAGGAACAAAAUAAAUUAAAAAAAACCCCCAACACUCCCUUGCUCCCCCCUCAGUUUUCCUUUGAAUCUGGAUGUGGUCUAACCAGUAGAAUUUUUUUUCUUUGCACUUUUACCUUAAUAUUUCUGUCUACAUUGCUGUGCCUCUCUCUGCCGCCAAAGCUAAGUGUUUGCUGAAUUAAAUAAACCAUGCUGCAUUGACAGAGCUCGUGAAUGCUGCUAUUGUCACCAGAAUCCCUUUUGCUGCUCUGACCCCAAAUCCUAAUGCCAACUGUGGUGCAGUCAUAAGUGAACAAGAAUUGAUCAUGCUGACGGGACUAAGAGACUCUCCAAAAGGUAAUUUUAUAGGCUGGUUUUGUCACCACAUGGCAAAACUUUGGAUAUGUUACAUCUGGUCCUGUUUGGAAUCACUCCUGUCUGUCAGAAAAGAUUUUUUUAAAAAAUAAAUGCUCAACACAUUCAAGAAAAGCUCUUGUCAUAUGGCUAAAAGCCCUCAAGUAAUCAUUUCAGUUACAGGGUCAUUAAUAAUAUUGGAUUUAAUGGAUUUCCAGUGUUUGCAUAAUGCAAUAGGGGAUCCACAAGGAAAUGGAUUGUUCCUGUCUGUAUUGUGGAGAAGAACUUAGGGUUGAUGCAAUAUAAAGUCUCUAAGAUCAAAAAUUAGAGUCAUUUCAGACAAGAUAGUUUAUUAAGUCCUGAACAAGAGAGGUCUGAAUUUUCAAACCAGAACUGUAAUAAUUAAAGUCUCCUAAUUUUGCAUGUCUGAAAUGCCUACAUGCUGUUGUAUAUUCCAGAUCCACAUAUUACUGAGAAGUUAAUAUAAAAUAUUGGGUCUACGCUUUUUUGUGUGAGGUCUAGAGACAAACACGUCCAACUUAGAAUCCAGCUGGUCUUUGUCCAACUACCCAGGAAAAGAACAUCCCACCUCAAAUCCCGUUAUUUCCUCUGGCUCCUGUUGUUACCUCUCCUUGUGGACAUGCUGAGCAGCAGCUGCAGCAGAAGAGCUGCUUUGGGAAGUUCUGGUGAGGAGCUGACAGCUCAGACCAGGACUGGAGUUCCAAAAGGGGCAUUGACCUAUGGAUUUCAAUUUCUCUUCCAACACAUUUGCAUGAGGAAGCACGAUAACCCUUUUUAGCGAUGUUUUCCUCUUCACUUUGUCUUCCUUUCUGACAAUAUAGCACAAACCCCUGGAUGUAGUUGUACAGAGAGCUGCUGCAGGAAUGACUCAAGCUGUCUGCAGACACUGUGUCCCACUGACACGCAACCUCACCUGGGGACUAGGGUUUCUCCCAAAAUGGGUACUCCCUGUGUGAGAAAGAAGGAGAAUUUUCUUCAUCCACCUUAAGGCACGAGGAGAAGUGUCCUAGUCUGUAAUAGUUUUAGGUUUGUAAGCAGAAGCUCUGGGCCAGCAGGGAUUGGGGGAGUGCCAGCUCUCCUGAGUUUGGAGGCAAUGCAAGAGCGUGGCAGGAGGAAAUCCCUUCCUUCCUCAGCCAGGGGAGACAGAGACCUGCAGCUUUUACCAAAUCUCGUGUUCAAACAGUGAUGUCAACCUCGCCGUGGCAGUGAUCAGCAGAGCCCAGGUUACCAUUUGACUCCUGCUAUGCAAGCAGAAGCUAGUACAAACCAAACUGACAAUUCACACCCCCCAGAAUUCAGAUUGCACCUCAGAAGUGACUCUUUAAAAGCUUUGGAAUUAUUAUUUCACCUGUAGUUGGAAUUUUUUUCUCCAGGCUUGACUUACAGUUUAUAAAUAUGUGAGACAGGCGAUUGGUAAUUCAGUUUAUAGUUUGUAUGAACCCUGAAGCUUAUGUCAAUGCUGUUAUCUAUUAUAGAAAUGCAAACAUGCUCUUUGAUGUGUUAUUCUCAGUGACUUGGGAGGAUAAAGACGGAAUACUCUAUGGGCAUUUGUAGAAGAAAUUCAGAAAUUGCAAGUCUACUAGAACCUAACAACAUAUUUUCAUUUAUUUUUUUUUGUCUCCUUUGCAAUAUGCUUGAUUACAGUAACUUAAAAACAAGAGAAAUAUUGCAUCCAUCUAGAUUUCUGCAGUAGGAGAGCCCAAACUGGCUCCCCUGCUAUGCCAAAAGCCCUUUUUUGAGUAUGCCAAACGUGUUUUGUGUUAUAGCAGAAGGGAAAUUUGGUGCCACAGAUGUAGGAUUUAUUCUGUUGGACAGAUUUCCUUGCUAUAGGAGCACCUCCUGCUGGCUCUGCACUGCGCUGCCCUUGGACUGCCCCUGUUUCCCAGACUUGGGAAUAAAAAGGAAGCCACGUGAGGUUUCUGGAGAUAGAGGAAAAUGGUCAGGGCAUCGUGGGACCAGUUCUGCUGCUGUGAAGGGUGAGAGGGAAAGGACUGACACUUCCCAGUCUGCUACAGACACACAUUUCUACAGUCCCUAGUGGGGUGUUGGUACUCCACGAACUCUGUUCAGGGCUAACACACUGUCUGCUCCCAAUGUCUGCAGUGACCCAGCUGAAGUCCGCAGAGCAGCUGGGAGUAAAACUUGGUAAUAAGGAGGUGAGAGAGAGCAAAAAGACAUUGUGUUUGACCCUGGUAGCUUCAGUUUGUCCAUGAAAAAUAGCUCACAAUGCUUUUCCACACAAAAUGCCUUUUUUUUUUAAUUUUUUUUUAAGAAGAAUGCAUAGUGGCUUUGUGGUCAUUUUAGUGAAUUUUAUUUUAUAUAAAAGCAAGAUAUUAAUAUGUCCUUUUUGAUUACUGCCACAAUAAGCAGCUUCAGUGGUUUUUUUCUCCAAGCAAUUUUUCCUUGAAGGUUUGUUUUAAUAUUUUUAGGAGGCAGUUAUAAAGUACUUUAAAAAAAAAUAAAGUCAGCCUACAAAUGAUAAGUUAAAGCUAAGUGAAAUAAGCUAUCCUGACCAGAGUGCUUUCCUUCCUUGGAAAACUAAACCAGUUGAAAAUACUUGCUGUCAUUCUGAUGCACAAGAAAAAUAAGUCCAAAAUAUCAACAUUUUCCCCAGAAUGAGAGCACUGCCAGCUCUGACAUGUUUGCUUUGGUGAUCAAAGCUCCUGGGAUGGCUGGAGAUGACAUGAAGAAAACGUGGUUUGUUCGUUUAAAUGCAGUGGGUGGGGAGCAAGAGAGAGCAGAGUGUUGUAGGGAGCAGGACUCAAACACAAAAUGAGCAGCAAAGAUCUGUUCAUCAACGCCUUCUCCUAGUACUAAGCAUUAGCACUGUAGCAACACUUAAAUUCUCCUGUUAUUGUUAUUCCUACAGCCUAUAAAGGGGCUGCUGAAAUAGGCACCAGUGAAGAAGCACAAGGAGACACAGCCCUUGUCUCUACAGCAGUUAAACUUCUGGUCUAUGAAGGGACGAUCCACGGUUUAUUAAAAAAGCGUUUUCUUCUUUACUGCCCCGUUGUAAUAUUUUGACACACCCUAGUGAAAGCCCAGCAGGGCACUGCGGUGCCGUGCUCUGUCUGGCUGUGUGUGCCCUCCGGCUGUCCCCGCAGCCCCUCCCUUGGUCGCUUGUCACUUGGGGCUGCUCCUGGGGACGGUGCCACCCGGCUGAGCGCCAGGGUCCAGGUGACACCUCAGAGUCAGCCCGGGCAAAUCUCAGUGCCCUCGGUCCUACAUCCUGUAUGGCACACAUUUUACAGGAAGAAAAAUUGGGAAAAAAAAGAUCAGAAAUACUGUAGAAAAUGGUUUAAAACUUCUCUGGAGCUACUUUGGUAAGUCUUGCUGCUUGUAAAGCCAGACUCCUUUUAUCUCAUAGGAACUCAAAGGCAGAAGAAAAUUAUGACUAAUAUAUUUUUUAGAAUUAGAAAAAAUUACCUAACCCCACAUAUUUGGAAUAUCAGAAUAUUACCAUUUAAGGCUGUGAAUUUCAAAAGAGCUUAUGGGAUUGUGGCACCCAGACCUACUCCUGCCCCCAUGGAAAUGCAUAUUAAUUUGCUAUCAACUUCCAUGCAAGGGAUCAAAACUCUUCAGCUCUCACUGAAUUUCCCUGGGAGGUUGGUGACUGUUGCAAAAAUCCCAGCUCAAACCUCCUCACUGUCACUCUCUUUUCAGCAGAAAUUCAGUGACUAUUGCGAAAAUCCCAGGCUGAACAAUCCGAUAACUCCUGGCUUUCAGGGCAGGAAGCAAACUCUGUGCAUCCUACCCAAACCAGCAGCAAUCUCUCUUCUCUUCCAGUGCAGAGGGAUUUCACACUUUUGCCUUUUACAUCCCUCAUGCUGGACAAAUAAUGACCUGGUUAUUGAGCCUGAUGGUGAUCAGAUUGUGAUGGGUUUCUGUUAUUUGGGCAUUGAGGAGAAUCCAUGUCUGGGCAAGAGAAAGCAAUCCUUGAUCUGGCUGUAGCAAUCCAUUUCUGUUAAAAUGGAAGGUUACUGUUUGAAAGGUGUCCAAAACCAGGAGGUCUCAUGAGCUGGGCUCGGGCUGGGGCAGUCCUAAACACACAUUCCCAGCCCUGUCACAAGCUCAGUUUCUUCUGCUCACAGAAGAAACAAACCUGCUUUACACAACAGCUCUGGAUCUCUGCUUGUUAGACAAAAAUGCUGCUUACAAACACAUAAACCAGCCGUGCUUGCCUGUGCUCUCAGAGCAAUGGUAAUUACAUUGAUUUUUGGUCAGUCCUGUCAUAUUUACUCCACCAAAUUGAUUAACCUAUGUAAUGAGUACAGGACUGUGACCAAUACUGACCCCACAUCAAAGCCUGAUAUUGCUGCAGUGUGCUGACCUGAAUUUUAAUUGUUCAGUAGGUUUGUAAUUAAACCGUAAAUGUGCUAAAGAAGAGAUUAGACAUUUCAGCUAGCAGUGUAUGUAUUUUUUCCCAGGUGUGCCAAUUGUGUACAUUAUAAAAUGUCCACUGCCUGCCUCAAUACACAAAGAUCUAACAACAUGCCAUUUCAUAGAUGAUUAAAGCGUCUUCAUUUUUUUUUUGCUUGAUAUAUUAAAAUAUGGAAAAAAUGUAAUUUGCAUCCUAAAAUUUUCUAUAUACAGUAUCGUGUAGCACUAAAGCUCUUGUAUAAAGGUAUAUAAAUAAAUCAACAAUGAAUAAAUUAGGACUUCAAGUCUCUGAGAAGUUCCCACAGGCUUGUACACUUGGUCCUCAGAGUCCAAAAGAACUAUUGCAGACAGAUGUGUUUUUGUUCUUCAGGAUCAUCAGUGUGGUACAUCUGUUGCUUCAGCCAGUGGCUAUGCCAGACUUGAGAGAAAACACGUUGCUCAUUAAAUGAAGACAACUAUCAUAAAUAAACGAGAACAUUUGGAAAACUACCCAUGCCUCACUUUUGUUUGGAAGAAACUUCUCUUUUGGAAGUUCUCGCAACAUAAAAGAGAGGAACUGCACUGCCUCAUUCCACAUGAUUCUUUCCUCUUUCAUUUUUCUGGAGAAGAACACGUGUUUCAACAUCUGGGUUUCCAGCAAAUGUUGCCUCCUACCUCAUGUGCCUGCUCCUUUGGCAAGGAGAAAUCCAGGGUCUCUGCUGGUGCAGCUCCCUGCUUUAUUUUCGACCACACAGAGGAGAUGGGAUUAGAAGAAGGUGGGUUAAUCUGGAAUUGGGUGGGCUGCGCUAGAAGGGAGCAACUGGGAAGAAGAUCCAUCUUUCAUUCAUAAAAUUUUGUUUGAAACACAUGGGGAAAAUUAGGAGCUACAUUUUCAUCUUCAUGAGCUGGGACUUGGGAGCCUGCCUUGAGAUUUAUUCAGGACCAUGAAUCUGGUUUGAAACUGUUCUUCUUUGGUGUGCUUGUACUUCUUCCAUCUUCCUGUGAUUUAUUCCAUCUUCUUGUGAUGGGUGUCACCAGAACUAAAAAAAGGUGAUUGACUCGUGGCUUUCAUUGUGAGCAGAGAGCUUGGCUGAAGGAAGAACAAGUCCAGGUUUCUUUCCUAGAGGAAGACUCUUGUGCAUAAAGAAUAAUAAGGGUGAGAUGAUAAAAUGUGUCAUGUUUGGGGAGUAGCAGUCUGAGAUACAGGCUAUUUGUCUCAUAGAUUUGGUAGCCAGAAUUUGUCUAGAAUUGGCAAAAAAAAAGUAGUCAUCUACUGAUACUUGGAAAAAAUUAUUGAAUGUAGAUAUGUAAUUUACUGGAACGAUGAGACAGUCCUCAUGUCAUAAUUUUUAUUAAAAAAUCACCCUGCAGACUAAAGAGUACCCACUGGUACUGAAUAGUGUCCUGUAGGCACUGAUCUUAGCCUAACACUGACAACGUAUUCUCCAGGCACAAUCUCUGCUUUGCUUUUCUUUCCUGUGCUCUGCCCAGAAAUCCCAAAGGUAUCUCUGGGAAGAUUUUUCUUUCAAUGGGGAAAUGUUUUGUUCAGCCACAUACUCAAGUUCACCACUGGAUGUGUUUUUCCCUUUGCAGUGUGCUUCAGGAUGCCUUGCUCCAUGGUGAGAGCCUCAGAAUCCAGCAGAGCAUUCCUUGGGUGUGAACUUCCCUGCCUGUUUCCCUGCUCAGGUUCCUCUCAGACACAAGAUUCUGCAGGCUAUUUUGGUUGGUCCUGCCAUGAAGAUUACUGCAAAUUCAUUGAAGAAAAAAACCAGAAGCUAAUAUUGGUGACAAGAAGGAUAAAAGCAGAAACACAGCAACAAAUACUUUGCCUGUUUGAGAGAAAGAUUUGAAACUUUACCCAGCUUGGAAGAGGGUGCAGAGCAACCAGAAAAUCUGCUCAAGAAUAAGAUGAAGCCAACAGUUUCCUUCAGAAGUUCAGAGUAGGCCCUUCUUUGCACCUGCCAUCUCUGUGCAGACAGGGUUAUGACAUUUUUGACAGAAAAAGUUUCAACCCAAAUACGAUAUUAUGUACUUCCUAUGCUAGGACUGCAUUCCACUAAAUUGUUUUUCCCUUUGCUACAAAAUAAUUUUGCUUGUUUAACAAGCUCCACUGAAAUGGAAAUGAACUACAGCUUCUCAUAACGUAAUUUGCACAGGUCUGUGUUGUGGAAGGUUAUGUUGAUAGAAAUUAGUAUAAUCAGGUUGCGACACAUGCCACAUAUUUAACAAGGAAAGGGAAUGAGAUUUUUAAGAAAAAAAAAUCAGCUCUGGAGAGACAGUAGAGCUGAGGACCUCUUCUUUCUCCCCUUUCCAACAGCUGCUAAUACUUUUCCAAGCUUUCUUACUUCCUUUCCACAUUUAUGGAUCUAAGCUUGUUGGUUGUAUCCAAGUGGCACCUGAGGUUGGAUUCUGACUUCAGUGAGGCAUUUCUAAAAUACGUACUGACACACUGUUCAUGGAAAUGGUAUCCUGCCUGUGACUUAACAGGAGCACCACACCUCUCAGCCACCCCAUCUUUUCCUCUCUGCAGCACCCAGUAUGUGCUUGCCCACAGGCUUGCUUUCCUUCCCAUGCCUCUUAGAGUUUGCCAGUCUGGACUGGUACAACAGCAAGUGAAUAUCAGUGAAAACGUCUCAUUUUUUAAUUGAAGCUUAUUGUGGAGAAAAGCCCUACAGGGAUCCAUGAAGAGAAGUUAAUGGGGCAGUGGAACCCUCCUGGGGCCUGGUAGACUCCUGGAAGUGUACAAAUGUGUGAGGAAAGUAUAUGGGAAUCCAGCCAGGCUUAUCAAGCCUUUUGCCUUUGGGAACUCUCACUUGCACUCUGUUGGAACUUUCCAUGUGACCAAGGAAGUUGUCAUGCACAUAGAUAGGGGCUUUCAGUAAAAAGAGAGAUCAAGAGAGGACCAUGUGGAAAAGAAAGAAAGGAUGGUCAACAUACCAAGAACUGGUCUUAAACUGUGAACAAAGCGUCCUUCUGAUGCAUUAAACAGAAUAUGGUGACAGCCUCCUGGCUGGUGCAAAAUAUAUUCCAUUCCUAAACUGCCAUCAGAGAUUAUUAUCCUUCCAAUUGGAUGUGAUGGAAAAGAGGUUUACAGUUUUGCACUGCCGAUAAGCAAGUACACCCUGAAAGCCAGCCUCCAGUUUUCUCAAUGAAAAGGCCCACAACCUCAGGUGCUAUGCUUCCACUGACAUCCUAGAAGGGAAAAAAUGGAUUUUAUAGGAUGCCACUGUUACUUUUCCACCCUGUUGGGCUGUGCAUUUGCUAAUCCAUCCCCUUCGCUACAUUCAAGGAAAGAAGAAAAUGCAGAAAGAGUUAAUGAGACAUGUUGGAUGUGGAAAAUGACUGCUCCCAAAAGAGACGUUUUUGGUCCUGUGAAGAGGUAGGAGUUAGAGAGAACAUGAAUCACUUGACUAAUCUGUACAAAAUGGGCUUAGUGAGCUUCUCCUUCAAAUCUUAUCCCCACAUUAGAUAGCAUUAAACCAGUUGUCAUUAAGCUAACAUUUCCAGAUGCUCUGGUGAGCCAUUUGCCUGAUAGCCCUGUUCCUCUUAAGAAAAGAACUGAAAAUGCUUUAAAAACGAGGCCAGUACAUCUGCAGAAGCAAAUGGCUGGAAUUUAAUUGGCAGUUUCUAAAACUUACACAGAUCCAGUUUAGAGCCUAAGUGGGGUAAAUUCAAAAGCGUAUCAAUAUUAUUGUCAAUAAUCAGUUACCUGUUGCACUGACAACAUCUAAACUAUUCUAUCAUAAUUUAAUAGUGUUGUUCUUUAACAAUUGGAUUUUGUUACACUUUUAUAUUUAGGCACGAUUAUUUAAUCUAAUUUAAUUGGCUUUCUUAUUCCCCUCAGGGUUCUGGGCCUAGAAAGUUCAUGUUAAAUACUCUAAUUGCUCUGAAAUUUACUUGUCUUCUAAAAUAUGCUCCUAUUUUAAAUAUACCCUAAAAUCUAGUUCAUACAUAUUUUCUCUUCUUUCAUGAAUUAAAAAAUAAUUCUGUUGUCCAUGAUUUGCACUUAAAAAGAGUCAAUAAUUAACUAAAAUAAUAAUUAUAGAUUGAAAACAGGGAGGAUGCAGUACAACAAACUGUGAGUUACAUAAAUAAGGCCAGGAGCACACAUCAAAGCUUUCUGAGCACCUGCUAAUCUCCAGAAGCAGAGCUGAAGCCGCUAACGAUGGCAGCAGCAGCACCCUGCAUGCUUAAUGUGUGGGUCUCUGAGUUUCACCGUGGAACAGUGCUCAGGAGCAAAAGAGCAUCGGGGGCUCACAGACAGUGGGGCCAGCCCCAUCCUCCUUGCAGAUGGUGAUUUCCCAUUGAUGCUGCAUGGAGAUUUUGGCUGUGCGAGUCAGCAUCAAUUAUGGCAGCAGCCACAAGGCACUCACACACACCGUGAGAAGGAGGGCUUGGUGUGGCCCUGGGAGCACCGCCACGAAAAGUGUGCUCUAAAACCUCUUGGUCUUUCAUGUGUCAGAGCCAGGUGAUGGGGUGGGAUCCAGAUCCAUUAGUAAGGUCACAUAUGGAUAGCAGAGGCCAGAUGCUGAUUUCAGAACACAGAGGUGGCUCUGCUUGUCAACAUGCUCCUCAGCUUGGCAGGGACCAGGGGUGGGAUGGGACUGGUGGGAUGGCAGCUGAAACAAAUACCUGGGAGAAGGGAGUGUUUCUCCUUUCCUUCCUAUCAACACAGUGUUUAAUGAAAAGGUGAGGGGCUGCCAGAGGUAUCUUCUGUGCAUUUAGAUUUUAAUGUGGAAUGCUGUUUCUGCCUACUCACAAUCCAUUUUACAGUCCCUUAGCUCUGGCUAUUUCUGUUCUUUUCUUAUCUCAGGCGUCUACCAAAGGCUAUUAAAUAGAUGUCACAGAACAUUCUGAGUUCAAAGGGGCCCACAAGGAUCACUGAGUCCAACUCUUAAGCAAACGGCCCAUAGAGGGAUUGAACCCACAACCCUGGUGUUGUUAGCACCAUGCUCACACCAACUGAGAUAAUCUAAGGUCCGAAAACGUGACCCAGCUCAGGACACUUGGGUGAUGCUGACGGAUGAACACAGGGAGGAGGUAUUAAGGGAGAGUUUCGGUGCCGCUCAGGAGUGAGGGCAUCUUGAGGGGAACGGAGCCUGGCAAGGACAGCCCUGCAAUGCUCCAGGCAAGGCUUUUGAGGGAUUCUGCAGGAGGAGCCUUUCCUUGUGGAAGUUCUGUGUAAGACACACGGUUCCCAGGUGUGCCAGUGUGCCGGGGGAACGCCUGUAUGAGUGACUUGUAAUUCAGAGUUCAGAAUAGCAGGAUGGGGAAUGGCUUCUGGGCCCACAGCUGCGUAAUUACCACAAACACAAACCCUUCUUUCCCAGGACAGAAGCCGAUAUU
Passer domesticus (house sparrow) is the source of this 21241-nucleotide long non-coding RNA. RefSeq lists it as uncharacterized. The transcript is spliced from 4 exons. The record is from RefSeq and is a predicted model, not a curated record. Lineage: Eukaryota; Metazoa; Chordata; Aves; Passeriformes; Passeridae.